AACGCACGAGACCUGCGGACCUGCGGAGGGAUCAUUAAUGAGUUGCAAAACUCCCUAAACCAUUGUGAACCUACCUGUACCGUUCCUUCGGCGGGCGGCGUCAAGCCCUAACCCGUCCCCCUUUACGGGGGAUGGACCCGCCGGAGGCUCCUAAACUCUUAACUUUUGUUGGCAUCUCUGAGUAAAUCAAAAUAAGUCAAAACUUUCAACAAUGGAUCUCU
Molecule: unclassified non-coding RNA, 221 nt
Filed under: soil metagenome
Description: partial contains 5.8S ribosomal RNA, internal transcribed spacer 2, and large subunit ribosomal RNA
Source: RNAcentral